RNAcentral lists this ribosomal RNA (518 nucleotides) under uncultured archaeon. Its description in RNAcentral is "bacterial SSU rRNA". It matches the Rfam family "Archaeal small subunit ribosomal RNA", at positions 325 to 847 of the family's 1478-position model. The record is from RNAcentral.
ACGGGGUGCAGCAGGCGCGAAACCUCCGCAAUGCACGCAAGUGUGACGGGGGAACUCCAAGUGUUCUCUCUUAGAGAGAACUUUUCUAUAGUGUAAAUAGCUGUAGGAAUAAGAACUGGGUCAGACGAGUGCCAGCCGCCGCGGUAAUACUCGCAGUUCAAGUGGUCUGGAUUUUUAUUGGGUCUAAAGCGUUCGUAGCCGGGCUUGCAAGUUUUCUGUGAAAUCUGGCAGCUUAACUGUCAGGCGUGCAGAGGAUACUACAAGUCUUGGGACCGGGAUGGGCUAAAGGUACUCUCGGGGUAGGGGUGAAAUCCAAUAAUCCUGAGGGGACCACCAGUGGCUAAGGCGUUUAGCUAAAACGGGUCCGACGGUGAGGAACGAAAGCUAGGGGAGCGAAUGGGAUUAGAUACCCCAGUAGUCCUAGCUGUAAAUGAUGCGGAUUAGGUGUUGCAUUUUCUUCGUGAUAGUGCAGUGCCGAAGGAAGCCGUUAAAUCCGCCACCUGGAAGUACGUCGCAAG